UCUAAUAUGGCAGAUUAGUGCAAUAAAUUUAAGCUUUAUAUAUAAAGAAUAUUCUUUUAUUAGAA
Molecule: transfer RNA, 65 nt
Filed under: Viannamyia furcata
Lineage: Eukaryota; Metazoa; Arthropoda; Insecta; Diptera; Psychodidae
Description: tRNA-Leu
Source: RNAcentral